CCUGAAGUGGGGGAUAACCAUUGGAAACGAUGGCUAAUACCGCAUAAUACCUACGGGUCAAAGAGGGGGACCUUCGGGCCUCUCGCGUCAGGAUAUGCCUAGGUGGGAUUAGCUAGUUGGUGAGGUAAUGGCUCACCAAGGCGACGAUCCCUAGCUGGUCUGAGAGGAUGAUCAGCCACACUGGAACUGAGACACGGUCCAGACUCCUACGGGAGGCAGCAGUGGGGAAUAUUGCACAAUGGGCGCAAGCCUGAUGCAGCCAUGCCGCGUGUGUGAAGAAGGCCUUCGGGUUGUAAAGCACUUUCAGUCGUGAGGAAGGUAGUGUAGUUAAUAGCUGCAUUAUUUGACGUUAGCGACAGAAGAAGCACCGGCUAACUCCGUGCCAGCAGCCGCGGUAAUACGGAGGGCUGCGAGCGUUAAUCGGAAUUACUGGGCGUCAAGCGCAUGCAGGUGGUUUGUUAAGUCAGAUGUGAAAGCCCGGGGCUCAACCCCGGAAUAGCAUUUGAAACUGGCAGACUAGAGUACUGUAGAGGGGGGUAGAAUUUCAGGUGUAGCGGUGAAAUGCGUAGAGAUCUGAAGGAAUACCGGUGGCGAAGGCGGCCCCCUGGACAGAUACUGACACUCAGAUGCGAAAGCGUGGGGAGCAAACAGGAUUAGAUACCCUGGUAGUCCACGCCGUAAACGAUGUCUACUUGGAGGUUGUGGCCUUGAGCCGUGGCUUUCGGAGCUAACGCGUUAAGUAGACCGCCUGGGGAGUACGGUCGCAAGAUUAAAACUCAAAUGAAUUGACGGGGGCCCGCACAAGCGGUGGAGCAUGUGGUUUAAUUCGAUGCAACGCGAAGAACCUUACCUACUCUUGACAUCCAGAGAACAUUCCAGAGAUGGAUUGGUGCCUUCGGGAACUCUGAGACAGGUGCUGCAUGGCUGUCGUCAGCUCGUGUUGUGAAAUGUUGGGUUAAGUCCCGCAACGAGCGCAACCCUUAUCCUUGUUUGCCAGCACUUCGGGUGGGAACUCCAGGGAGACUGCCGGUGAUAAACCGGAGGAAGGUGGGGACGACGU
RNAcentral lists this ribosomal RNA (1060 nucleotides) under Vibrio harveyi. RNAcentral's name for it is "bacterial SSU rRNA". It matches the Rfam family "Bacterial small subunit ribosomal RNA", at positions 130 to 1185 of the family's 1533-position model. Lineage: Bacteria; Pseudomonadati; Pseudomonadota; Gammaproteobacteria; Vibrionales; Vibrionaceae. The record is from RNAcentral.